Molecule: unclassified non-coding RNA, 348 nt
Filed under: soil metagenome
Description: partial contains 5.8S ribosomal RNA, internal transcribed spacer 2, and large subunit ribosomal RNA
Rfam family: 5.8S ribosomal RNA (bases 1-120)
Source: RNAcentral
GAUGAAGAACGCAGCAAAAUGCGAUAAGUAAUGUGAAUUGCAGAAUUCAGUGAAUCAUCGAAUCUCUGAACGCACAUUGCGCCCGCUGGUAUUCCGGCGGGCAUGCCUGUUCGAGCGUCAUUUCAACCCUCAAGCCCCCGGGUUUGGUGUUGGGGAUCGGCUCUGCCCUUCUGGGCGGUGCCGCCCCCGAAAUACAUUGGCGGUCUCGCUGCAGCCUCCAUUGCGUAGUAGCUAACACCUCGCAACUGGAACGCGGCGCGGCCAUGCCGUAAAACCCCAACUUCUGAAUGUUGACCUCGGAUCAGGUAGGAAUACCCGCUGAACUUAAGCAUAUCAAUAAGCGGAGGA